This 399-nucleotide unclassified non-coding RNA is filed under the name soil metagenome. RNAcentral's name for it is "partial contains 5.8S ribosomal RNA, internal transcribed spacer 2, and large subunit ribosomal RNA". The stretch from base 1 to 120 matches the Rfam family "5.8S ribosomal RNA", at positions 35 to 154 of the family's 154-position model. The record is from RNAcentral.
GAUGAAGAACGCAGCGAAAUGCGAUACUUGGUGUGAAUUGCAGAAUCCCGUGAACCAUCGAGUCUUUGAACGCAAGUUGCGCCCGAAGCCUCGGCUAAGGGCACGUCUGCCUGGGCGUCACGCAUCGCGUCUCCCCCAAACCGCCAAGGCGGAGGGGAAGGAAGAUGGCUUCCCGUGCCUCACCCGGGCGCGGUUGGCCUAAAUUUGGAGCCCGCGGCACUUAGCUCUCGCGGCGAUAGGUGGUGAACAAGGCCUUGGCCGUGCAAACAACCCGCUGCGAAGCUCUAUGUCACGUGCGCUCGUCGGACCCUUUGAAGUUGCCUUUGGUGACUUAAAACCUUUGCGACCCCAGGUCAGGCGGGGCUACCCGCUGAAUUUAAGCAUAUCAAUAACGGAGGA